RNAcentral lists this ribosomal RNA (432 nucleotides) under uncultured bacterium. Its description in RNAcentral is "partial 16S ribosomal RNA". It matches the Rfam family "Bacterial small subunit ribosomal RNA", at positions 29 to 507 of the family's 1533-position model. The record is from RNAcentral.
AACGAACGCUGGCGGCAUGCCUAACACAUGCAAGUCGACCGAGACUUUCGGGUUUACUGGCGCACGGGUGCGUCACGCGUGGGAACAUGCCCUUAGGUACGGAAUACCUCCCGGAAAGCGGCGCUAAUAAAGGAUAGUGUCUUCGGCCCAAAGAUUUAUUGCCUCAGGAUGGGCCUGCGUUGGUUUCGCUUGUUGGUAGGGUAAAAGCCUGCCAAGGCGACGAUUCAUUGCUGGUCUGAGAGGAUGAUCAGCCCCACUGGGACUGGGACACGGCCCGGACUCUACCGGAGGGCAGCAGUGGGGAUAAUGGAACAUGGGGCGAAAGCCGAAGCCAGCAAGGCCGCGUGAGUGAGGAGGGCCUUAGGGUUGUAAAGCUCUUUUACCGGGGAUGUUAAGAAGGGAACCAGGAAAAAAGGCACGGCCAAACACGUU